Molecule: long non-coding RNA, 1419 nt
Organism: Taeniopygia guttata (zebra finch)
Lineage: Eukaryota; Metazoa; Chordata; Aves; Passeriformes; Estrildidae
Source: RefSeq, a predicted model, not a curated record
UUAAAUUACACUGCCAUCUUUGGGUACUGAUAAUGAUAUUACAUUUAUGUAACACUCAAUCUACGUAACUAGCAAUUCCUAAAAUAAAUCUACAAAGGACUGGGUCUUUAAAGCUGCCUGGUGACCCAGCUGUCUGAUUGAAUGCUAUCCAGCAAAGACAGCUGAGUUGGAAAGCUUCCAGCUCUUUGUAUGGGAUACUUGGGAAAAGUUAGGGGCUCCCAGAAUAGAAUCACAGUAUGAUGGCACAGGUCUGGGGAAGCAGCAAUCAGGGUUGAAUAACAUAUUUGAAAAAAAUGACUCUAGAGUCACUUCCCUUCUAUGGGAAUUGCUGGAAUAGAGCCUGCUGUUUCUAAGACUGCUCUACAGGAUGUGAGAUGAAUGCUGAUCUGGGUAUUUGCUGUUUGCUGUGAGCCCCUUGGCUGGCUUGGUUUUUUCAUCAUUAAGAAGUAAAGCAGCAUUGUGUGACCUCAUCUGGAAAGACACAGACUCUCAAGGCAGAAAGGAACCUCAGACAUGACAGCAAUGAAGGCCAUGUAAGUAACUAAAACAGGCAGGCAGAGAUCCUGCCCACUCUGCAAUCCCAGGUCACUGGGAAGGAGCUGUCACAUCCAUUGGCUCUGAAGUCAGUCUAAACAACAAAUAGAUAACUGCAGCUCCUGGAUGGAAGAGAAAGGCAAUUAGAAAAUAGCUCUGCUGGGAGAAGUGCAAUACCAGUUACCCAACACCUGGCCAGUUGCAAUGUAUGGGUCCCAUAAGCAUGGAAAAAAGGCUUCUUCUGGGUCGGGGACUUCGGGAACGCGUCGAUGGUAGUAAAGAGAAGAGUCUUCCACCGGGCGAGAGUCUCUCAAGCGGCUUUAUUCUGAGGGCUUCGGUGAGGGAAGGCGAGGGUAGUGAAGGGACACAGCCACUCAGAGGGCGAGCCAGCUCUGAGAGCCCCAAACCAGGGGCGGGGCAGGGUUUAUAACAGUUACAGGGAAGGCGGGUCAGGGUACAGAGCAUCCAACCGGGUGAGGGUAUGAGGGUGGAGUCAAGCAGGAGUGACACGGCAACGGCCAACUGGGAUAGAGGGAAGAAGUGGUUUCGGGGGAGGAACCAAUGGGAGUACAAAGAACCGAGAACUUUCUAGAACAAAGGGAAGGGGUACAAAGUGAUUGACAUAAACUGGGGGAAGGGAGAACAGAUAACGGACAACUUGGGAGGCGGGAAACUACACAUCUGUGGCCUCCCAUGGCAAAGCAGGGAGGUCACCAACCACACCCCCUACCACGAACAAGGUAUUAGGGAUUUUCUUUAUUCCAGAAGAUACAUAUUAAAAGCCGUGAAAAAUGAACAGAACAACACAUUUCUAUGCUUAGAAAAUAUGCUUCACUUCGAAAUACAAAUUUUUGUGAUGCAGGUGGAGAAAAUAAAGUCAUAACA